This is a long non-coding RNA of Erigeron canadensis, 345 nucleotides long. RefSeq lists it as uncharacterized. NCBI's taxonomy places the organism in Eukaryota, Viridiplantae, Streptophyta, Magnoliopsida, Asterales, Asteraceae. The transcript is spliced from 4 exons. The record is from RefSeq and is a predicted model, not a curated record.
CCCAUUUCUGCUCUAAGAUCAUUGAUGCUCUGCUCCAACUCACUUAUUCUUUCUCCCAUCUCAUCAAGUACAUUGAUGUUAAGUUUGACCAGAAAAAAGAAACACAGGGCCAGCAUUCAACUCAUUCCUACCAUUCGUGCUUUUCAACAAGCAAGAACUUAACGCACAUCUGCAAUUCAUUAGAAACCAGUUAUAAGUCUAUGAUAUGGCUGGUUGCGAAGAAGUCAAAUCAGCCAAAAAUUAAUCUACUCCAGUCGUGGCGCCUUCCAAAGACCCCAUAAGACGAUUAUAUGUAAACAAAAAAGUGUGAUGGAUGAGUAGACGGUGGAGGGGAAAACAUUCCAG